GUGCAGCAGGUCGAGAAACCUCCGCAAUGCGGGAAACCGCGACGGGGGGACCCCGAGUGCCGUGGCAACGCCACGGCUUUUCCGGAGUGUAAAAAGCUCCGGGAAUAAGGGCUGGGCAAGGCCGGUGGCAGCCGCCGCGGUAAUACCGGCGGCCCGAGUGGUGGCCGCUAUUAUUGGGCCUAAAGCGUCCGUAGCCGGGCCCGUAAGUCCCUGGCGAAAUCCCACGGCUCAACCGUGGGGCCUGCUGGGGAUACUGCGGGUCUUGGGACCGGGAGAGGCGGGGGGUACCCCUGGGGUAGGGGUGGAAAUCCUAUAAUCCCAGGGGGACCGCCAGUGGCGAAGGCGCCCCGCUGGAACGGGUCCGACGGUGAGGGACGAAGGCCAGGGGAGCAAAACCGGAUUAGAUACCCGGGUAGU
Molecule: ribosomal RNA, 417 nt
Filed under: uncultured microorganism
Description: bacterial SSU rRNA
Rfam family: Archaeal small subunit ribosomal RNA
Source: RNAcentral